GUCUAUGGCCAUGCCACCUGAACCAAGCCCAAUCCCGUCUGAUCUCGGAAGCUGAGUGGGGUCGGGCCUGGUUAGUACUUGGUUGGGAGACCACCUAGGAAGACCAGGUGCUGUAGGUG
Molecule: ribosomal RNA, 119 nt
Filed under: Pteropus alecto (black flying fox)
Lineage: Eukaryota; Metazoa; Chordata; Mammalia; Chiroptera; Pteropodidae
Source: RNAcentral